This 460-nucleotide ribosomal RNA is filed under the name uncultured bacterium. Its description in RNAcentral is "partial 16S ribosomal RNA". It matches the Rfam family "Bacterial small subunit ribosomal RNA", at positions 338 to 795 of the family's 1533-position model. The record is from RNAcentral.
CCUACGGGGGGCUGCAGUGAGGAAUAUUGGUCAAUGGACGAGAGUCUGAACCAGCCAAGUAGCGUGAAGGAUGACUGCCCUAUGGGUUGUAAACUUCUUUUAUAUGGGAAUAAAAUGUUCCACGUGUGGGAUUUUGUAUGUACCAUAUGAAUAAGGAUCGGCUAACUCCGUGCCAGCAGCCGCGGUAAUACGGAGGAUCCGAGCGUUAUCCGGAUUUAUUGGGUUUAAAGGGAGCGUAGGUGGAUUGUUAAGUCAGUUGUGAAAGUUUGCGGCUCAACCGUAAAAUUGCAGUUGAAACUGGCAGUCUUGAGUACAGUAGAGGUGGGCGGAAUUCGUGGUGUAGCGGUGAAAUGCUUAGAUAUCACGAAGAACUCCGAUUGCGAAGGCAGCUCACUGGACUGCAACUGACGCUGAGGCACGAAAGCGUGGGUAUCGAACAGGAUUAGAUACCCCGGUAGUC